UGGGGAAUAUUGCACAAUGGAGGGAACUCUGAUGCAGCAACGCCGCGUGCGGGAUGACGGCCUUCGGGUUGUAAACCGCUUUCAGCCAUGACGAAGCUUUUGUGACGGUAGUGGUAGAAGAAGCACCGGCUAACUACGUGCCAGCAGCCGCGGUGAUACGUAGGGUGCGAGCGUUGUCCGGAAUUAUUGGGCGUAAAGAGCUUGUAGGCGGUUUGUCGCGUCGAAAGUGUAAACUCAGUGCUUAACGCUGAGCCUGCUUUCGAUACGGGCUGACUAGAGGUGGGUAGGGGAGAAUGGAAUUCCCGGUGGAGCGGUGGAAUGCGCAGAUAUCGGGAGGAACACCAGUGGCGAAGGCGGUUCUCUGGACCUUUCCUGACGCUGAGAAGCGAAAGCGUGGGUAGCAAACAGG
Molecule: ribosomal RNA, 409 nt
Filed under: Fusobacteriota bacterium
Lineage: Bacteria; Fusobacteriati; Fusobacteriota
Description: Fusobacteria bacterium partial 16S ribosomal RNA
Rfam family: Bacterial small subunit ribosomal RNA
Source: RNAcentral